CGGGGGAAGCCCGGUGAAAUUCCGGCACUGUCGCGCAACGGUCAAAGUCCGAAUGCCCG
Molecule: non-coding RNA, 59 nt
Filed under: Salinibacter ruber
Lineage: Bacteria; Pseudomonadati; Rhodothermota; Rhodothermia; Rhodothermales; Salinibacteraceae
Also listed under: 1 other name
Source: RNAcentral